Salmo salar (Atlantic salmon) is the source of this 141-nucleotide non-coding RNA. The record is from Rfam. Lineage: Eukaryota; Metazoa; Chordata; Actinopteri; Salmoniformes; Salmonidae.
CUUCAGUGAUGAUACGAUGGCGAGUCGGAACGGGACGCAGCGGGUCUCUGGGGAUCACUGGGUCAGGGUCAUGUUCUAGGUUCAGUUCCCUUAAGCAUCGUGUUCUUCAGUUGACAACAUCGAGGCAUUUGUCUGAGAAGG